Molecule: ribosomal RNA, 450 nt
Filed under: uncultured bacterium
Lineage: Bacteria
Description: partial 16S ribosomal RNA
Rfam family: Bacterial small subunit ribosomal RNA
Source: RNAcentral
AACGAACGCUGGCGGCAGGCCUAACACAUGCAAGUCGAACGGAUGUAGCAAUACAUUAGUGGCGCACGGGUGCGUAACGCGUGGGAAUUUGCCUUUUAGUCUGGAAUAACACAGGGAAACUUGUGCUAAUACCGGAUACUCCCGAGAGGGGAAAGUUUUUCGCUAAAAGAUAAGCCCGCGUUAGAUUAGCUAGUUGGUGAGGUAAUGGCUCACCAAGGCUACGAUCUAUAGCUGGUCUGAGAGGAUGAUCAGCCACACUGGAACUGAGACACGGUCCAGACUCCUACGGGAGGCAGCAGUGGGGAAUAUUGGACAAUGGGGGCAACCCUGAUCCAGCCAUGCCGCGUGAGUGAAGAAGGUCUUCGGAUUGUAAAGCUCUUUUGGCGGGGAAGAUGAUGACUGUACCCGCAGAAUAAGCUCCGGCUAACUUCGUGCCAGCCGCCGCAGUAA